GUUGGGUUAAGUCCCGCAACGAGCGCAACCCUUGCCAUUAGUUGCCAAUAUUAAGUUAGGAACUCUAAUGGGACUGCCGUAGAUAAUACGGAGGAAGGUGGGGAUGACGUCAAAUCAUCAUGCCUCUUACGUCUUGGGCUACAAACGUGCUACAAUGGUAGAUACAAAGAGAUGCAAACCAGUAAUGGGGAGCCAACCUCAAAAAGUCUAUCCCAGUUCGGAUUGUGGGCUGCAACCCGCCCACAUGAAGCCGGAGUUGCUAGUAAUCCCAAAUCAGCAUGUUGGGGUGAAUGCGUUCCCGGGUCUUGUACACACCGCCUGUCACGCCAUGGGAGUUGGGGGGACCCAAAGUCGGUGAGCUAACCAGUAAUGGAGGCAGCCGCCUAAGGUAAAACCAAUGACUGGGGUGAAGUCAUAACAAGGUAGCGGUAUCGGAAGGUGCCGCUGGAUCACCUCCUUU
This 460-nucleotide ribosomal RNA is filed under the name Candidatus Caccopulliclostridium gallistercoris. RNAcentral describes it as "bacterial SSU rRNA". It matches the Rfam family "Bacterial small subunit ribosomal RNA", at positions 1074 to 1533 of the family's 1533-position model. The record is from RNAcentral. Lineage: Bacteria; Bacillati; Bacillota; Clostridia.